This 347-nucleotide unclassified non-coding RNA is filed under the name soil metagenome. RNAcentral describes it as "partial contains 5.8S ribosomal RNA, internal transcribed spacer 2, and large subunit ribosomal RNA". The stretch from base 1 to 120 matches the Rfam family "5.8S ribosomal RNA", at positions 35 to 154 of the family's 154-position model. The record is from RNAcentral.
GAUGAAGAACGCAGCGAAAUGCGAUACGUAAUGUGAAUUGCAGAAUUCAGUGAAUCAUCGAGUCUUUGAACGCACAUUGCGCCCUCUGGUAUUCCGGAGGGCAUGCCUGUCCGAGCGUCAUUGCUGCCCUCCAGCCCGGCUGGUGUGUUGGGCCCCGUCCCCCUUCCCGGGGGGACGGGCCCGAAAGGCAGCGGCGGCACCGCGUCCGGUCCUCGAGCGUAUGGGGCUUUGUCACCCGCUCUUGUAGGCCCGGCCGGCGCCAGCCGACCCCCUCAAUCUAUUUUUCAGGUUGACCUCGGAUCAGGUAGGGAUACCCGCUGAACUUAAGCAUAUCAAUAAGCGGAGGA